RNAcentral lists this transfer RNA (69 nucleotides) under Marmota monax (woodchuck). Its description in RNAcentral is "tRNA.Ala". The record is from RNAcentral. Lineage: Eukaryota; Metazoa; Chordata; Mammalia; Rodentia; Sciuridae.
GAGCUGGAGCUCAGUGGUAGAGUGCUUGCCUAGCAUGUAUGAGGCCCGGGUUCGAUCCUCAGCACCACA